This is a long non-coding RNA of Gymnodraco acuticeps, 2311 nucleotides long. RefSeq lists it as uncharacterized. The record is from RefSeq and is a predicted model, not a curated record. The transcript has 2 exons. NCBI's taxonomy places the organism in Eukaryota, Metazoa, Chordata, Actinopteri, Perciformes, Bathydraconidae.
GGCUGAAGGACAGAAUACAGGACUGAAAGAGGACGAAAGGGGACAAGAGAUAACAUGAAUGUCAUCACAUGGUCCAGGUUCCAUACAGAGACAACAAGCACCUCAUUCAAAGGUAAUACAACAAAUAUCCUUGUGUAUCCCUUUAAUUUUCUAACAUUUUCCAAAAUGUCUGUUUUCACUUUUUCAGCUAUUAUUCAUUCACAAACUGUUAGUUGUGUGAAGUUAUUCUUGUUAUGUAUUGUCACAUUUCAACUGAUAACUAUUGAAUUAAAAGAAAACGUUACGUACCGUGAGAGAUCCAUCUGCAUUAGUGUUUUUUGGGUAAUAAGUCAUUACUGUCCCGUAAAAAUGAGACGACUGGGCGCCGCAGACCAGCAGUAGCAGCAGCAGAGAGACACACAUAGUAAAGGUAUUACUCUCUCCACACAAUGAGAGUAAAUGACUACCAAGACUAAAGCAUUUACUUCAAUAGUAGAACAAUAAACCAGAAAACUGGGUAUGAGGAAAUGUCCUUAUGCCAGGAAGAUAUGAAGAUAAGCUUGUAAAACCUGAUGUGAGUUUUUGUGGUUAGGGCGUAUUAGGGUGUAUUGUAGUUCAGUCAGACAACUCACGUGUUUCUUUAACACGUGUAUUAGAAGCAGAACAGAGUUGAGUGUGGGUCCAUUAAACCGUCACAGAGUGUGAGGUAAGUAAGAAGAAUUCAGGGACUGCUCUUUAAAUUGCGCUCCUAAUAAAUAAAGGGAAUUGGAUCCAGAAAAAAAUAAAACACUUGGAUGCAAUUUAAUAGAAUUUGGACGCACCCUUUGCAUUAGUAUUGGAAUGCGGCCCGACCAUAACAAUGUCGCAUUUGGCUCCAAGCUACUCUGUGCCAUGCUCCUAGUUUAUUUGUUACUCAGUGUUUUUGGAUAUAAAUGGGAGGAUGUUCCGGCGGCAAACUGUUAUUGUUAAUGUCAUGUAUAUGUCCUAAAGUUACGUGCAGGGUGGAAACGUGGAAAAAGGCAAAACAUGACACUUGCAAAGAUGUUUUUUAUGAAAAGAAAAUAUGUAGUUUUAUUUUUCAGCUCUCAAACAGAAACAUGUAUCAAAAGAAACAGAACAAGAUGCUGCUCUUUCUAAAAAUAAAAACAAGAUUCCUCUUUCCUCUCAUUCCAGUCACUUACAAAGCAAUAGAGCCCGCCUUCCCAAUUCAAAUUGGCCAAUCAGGUCACUUGAUUAGUUGCGAUUGGUCACAAACUUAACAAACAAAAACAAAAAACUCAAUUACUAAUGUAUUGUCAUAAUUACAUUAUUUACUUUCAAAUAAUACAUUGUAACCAUACAUACUUCAUCAUCAUCAUUUGACCAAUCACAGUUUAGACCCCGCCCACUCUCAAACCACAUAUCAAGACUGAAGGAGAACUGAAACUCAGCUCAUGGAUUUCAUGAUAGCUUUUCUGUUUAUAAUGAACUUCUCUUUCCAAAACAAAUGUUAGCAGACAGUGAGAGAGGAAUUUGGAUCUUCCUCACACAUUUGAAGAGCGGUUUGCUUAACAGUGAGGGUAGAGCUUCUGAUCUUGCUGUUUUACAUCUGAUAGUCAACUGAAAAGCAAAUGUUCCUGCAGGGGUCAGUAAAAGUUCACGUUGAAUCGACAAGUGUUGCUGUCACAAAGUGAAUAAAGUCAGUAUGUUAGACAGUGGGACGGAUGGUUAAACCUUUUAUAUAAUUGUUGCAUGUUACAUAUAGUGUUGUGAUUUUAAUGUUGUGCGCUAUUUAGCGAUGAACUCUUUUUAUUUACAUGCUUGUUUAACCUCCUCAACGAACUGUCACAACAAAGACACAGACACUGCUGAUUGACACACCGGCACCCAGUGAAAAUCAGCGAUCCCAUUCGCCAGUUGCCAAAUCCACUCCCCCAUAAAUACGCCGACUACCUGCUAGACGGCAGCUAUUCUUCUCUUGACAGUUGCUGCCUCACCUCGCCGCAGAUCGGACCGGAUCGGGUCCCUCCUCCUGCUCCUCCUCACCUCGCAGCAAAUCGGACCGCACCCUCCUCUAACCAUCGGAUUCAACGCUGAAACAAACUCCAGAUAAAGGGAAGUGGCUAUUUCUCCUGCUUUUGGGCGUCUAGUUUUACGUCACGAAAGUUACAUUGUUGUCUCCUUCGCUUCCAAGCGGACAGGACUUUCAGGAUUUUAUCAACCCGUGCUAGAACUGUAAUUCUUAAGUAACUGGUUUAUAUUUAUUGAACAUUAUUUUAACCUUACGUUAUUUUAAGUAUUUAUCAAAGGAGUGUUUUUAAAGUAACUUUGUACAAAUAAACAAUUUUACACC